AUGGGCGGAAUGUCUUUCGAUGUGCCUCCUCGCACACAUUCCCAUGAAGAUGCCAUUGAAGAUCUUGCCAACACCGUCGGAGCUUCACGUGAUGCGGUGCGCGAUGAGGAGAGGGAGGAAGAUUCAUCUUCGGAGGCGGAAGAAUCGUCUUCCGAAGAUGAGGACGAGGACGAAGACGACGACGAGGAAUGA
Molecule: ribosomal RNA, 192 nt
Filed under: Triticum aestivum (bread wheat)
Lineage: Eukaryota; Viridiplantae; Streptophyta; Magnoliopsida; Poales; Poaceae
Description: partial small subunit ribosomal RNA
Source: RNAcentral